AGUGCACGCUGGCGGCAGGCCUAACACAUGCAAGUCGAACGAGUGGCGGACGGGUGAGGACUACAUCGGCAACUACUCUGUCGUGGGGGAUAACGUAGGGAAACUUACGCUAAUACCGCAUACGCUUGAAUGAGCCGAUGUCGGAUUAGCUAGUUGGCGGGGUAAAGGCCCACAAAGGCGACGAUCCGUAGCUGGUCUGAGAGGAUGAUCGGCCACACGGGAACUGAGACACGGUCCAGACUCCUACGGGAGGCAGCAGUGGGGAAUAUUGGACAAUGGGCGCAAGCCGGAUCCAGCCAGACCGCGUGGUUGAAGAAGGCCUUCGGGUUUUAAAGCCCUUUUGUUGGGAAAGCGGUACCCAAAGAAUAAGCACCGGCUAACUUCGUGCCAGCAGCCGCGGUAAUAC
RNAcentral lists this ribosomal RNA (406 nucleotides) under uncultured bacterium. Its description in RNAcentral is "partial 16S ribosomal RNA". It matches the Rfam family "Bacterial small subunit ribosomal RNA", at positions 29 to 526 of the family's 1533-position model. The record is from RNAcentral.